This 487-nucleotide unclassified non-coding RNA is filed under the name Megathyrsus maximus. Its description in RNAcentral is "partial external transcribed spacer". Lineage: Eukaryota; Viridiplantae; Streptophyta; Magnoliopsida; Poales; Poaceae. The record is from RNAcentral.
AAAUUGGUCAUUCUCGUACUCCCUUGUCGCUGUCCUCACAUGUAGACUCAUCGUGCACAGCUCGGUGGAUGCUAUGGAUGGCUUGAUCAUUGCGNUACGCUGGUGCAUGAGAUGUGAUGGACCUGUGACUGCUAGAGGCCCCCCGCACUAGUGCGGCCGACUCUGGGCGCCAGUGUCCCCUCAAUUGUUCGGGCCUCGUGCUCGUGCCUAUACAGGUGCUUGCAUGGUUCUACCCGUGCCAUGGGAAGUGGCUAUCACUACAUGCUGAAUACGUUGCGUCCACUUUUGGGUGUCACGCAUCGGCUCUAGAGCAGCGGCGUCGCCUCGUGGUACAACCUCCUUUGGGUUGCACCUCCAAGGCCACCUCGCUAGCGCUCUUGGUUUCGGAUGGAGCUCAUGCUAUAGGAUUGGGCUGCUUCAGUGCCCCAUUCCUCUCAAAGUCAGUACCUUCGGAACAAAGACAGCCAGCUCGGUCGACGCCUUGUGC